RNAcentral lists this ribosomal RNA (1518 nucleotides) under Triticum aestivum (bread wheat). RNAcentral describes it as "partial small subunit ribosomal RNA". Lineage: Eukaryota; Viridiplantae; Streptophyta; Magnoliopsida; Poales; Poaceae. The record is from RNAcentral.
AUGCUCAAUCGGGUGAUGUCGAUGCAGCGGGAAAGUCGUCGCCUGCAAAUACAACCCCAUAAUGGACCAGCUGAUUCAAAGGUUGACAGAAAGGACUCAACCUGCAAACAAGAUCAUAGUUCCCAAGGUGGUGAAACACAACACCCUGGGCCGCAUCUUCCAGAGGAUAUCUGGUGUCAUAUAUAUUCCCUACUGCCAAUGCGAGAUGCUGCUCAAGUUGCUUGCGUGUCAAAUGCAUUUCAACGUUUUUGGAGAUGCCAUCCAAACCUUGCUUUCAGUAUGAAAGCAUUGGGCAUGGAUAAAAGAUCAUGUGGAGAGGAUGAAAUAGUGAGAAAUUUCACCAGCAAGGUCGACCACAUUUUAAAAAACCGCUUAUGCAUGGCCAUAAAGACACUCGAGAUUGUUUUCCGUUAUUACAAUGACCAGGUCUGUAACCUUGAUAGCUGGCUUCAGACUAUUAUUACACCGGGGAUUGAAGAACUCACUGUUCAGCUAUCUAGAAAGUCUGGAAGAUAUUACAACUUUCCAUGGUCAGUUUUAGCUAAUGAGAGUGGAAACUCGAUUCGGUAUAUAAAUCUUUCUUGUUGUGCUUUCUCUUCCACUGCCGGGUUGUGCUUGAAAAGCUUGUCAAGACUUGAGUUGUGUGAUGUUGAUAUCACGGGGGACCAAUUGGGGUCUCUUCUUCACAAUUCUUUUGCUUUGCAACGGAUGCAACUCAGACGUUGCAAUAAUAUAAGUUGCUUGAAGAUACCAUUUCAUUUGCAACAACUUGGAUAUCUUGAAGUGUUUGACUGCAGCUUGCUGCUUAUAGAGAUAGAAGCUCAAAACCUUUCUAAUUUUUAGUUUAGGGGUCACACCCAAGUACAACUACCACUUGGAGUAGCAUUGCAAUUGAAGAAGCUUGUCAUGUCAUUUCCUGGUGCUGUCAGCUAUGUUUGUGCUGAUUUUCCGUCUAGCUUGCAAUAUGUUGAAGCUCUUACCAUAUGUUCAUCUCAUGAGAUGAUUGAUACACCAGUGCUACCUAGUAGCAAGUUCUUACAUCUUAAGUACUUGAGUGUUGAUCUUAGUGCAGUGGUAUUUUCCCCAACCUACGAUUAUUGUUCUCUGAUAUCCUUUUUUGAUGCUUCUCCUUCCUUGGAGACCCUUGUCAUGAACGUGUUGCAAGUAAAAAUGUUGCACGAAUCAAUCGUGGGAGAUACAUCACAUUUGAGGGAGAUGCCAGGACACCGCCAUGAUAGCCUUAAGACAGUGAAGAUCAUUGGUUUCUCCUCUGCGAAGAGCUUAGUUGAGCUGACAUGCCAUAUCAUUGAGAAUACGACGUCACUUGAGUGCCUUACAUUGGACACCACACGAGGACAUCCUUGGGAUAGCUGUUCAUCCAACUAUACUGGAAAGUGCUUGCUGUUGCACGGGGAUUUUAUGGUGGAAGCUCGUAAAGGCCUCUUGGCUAUAAGGACAUAUGUUAAUCUCAUGCUCAUCAAAAGGAAUCCACUAACAAGGUUGAUCAGGUCUUGUUAG